Molecule: ribosomal RNA, 119 nt
Filed under: Pteropus alecto (black flying fox)
Lineage: Eukaryota; Metazoa; Chordata; Mammalia; Chiroptera; Pteropodidae
Source: RNAcentral
GUCUCUGGCCAUGCCAUCCUGAACAAGCCCAAUCCCAUCUGAUCUCGGAAGCUAAGCAGGGUCCAGCCUGGUUAGUACUUGGAUGGGAGACCACCUAGGAAGACAAGGUGCUUUAGGCA